CACGUAGGGUGCAAGCGUUGUCCGGAAUCAUUGGGCGUAAAGAGCUCGUAGGCGGUUUGUCACGUCGGGUGUGAAAGCCCGGGGCUUAACCCCCGGGUCUGCAUUCGAUACGGGCAGACUAGAGUGAUGUAGGGGAGACUGGAAUUCCUGGUGUAGCGGUGAAAUGCGCAGAUAUCAGGAGGAACACCGAUGGCGAAGGCAGGUCUCUGGGCAUUAACUGACGCUGAGGAGCGAAAGCAUGGGGAGCGAACAGG
RNAcentral lists this ribosomal RNA (254 nucleotides) under uncultured bacterium. RNAcentral describes it as "partial 16S ribosomal RNA". It matches the Rfam family "Bacterial small subunit ribosomal RNA", at positions 524 to 776 of the family's 1533-position model. The record is from RNAcentral.